GAUGAACGCUGGCGGCGUGCCUAAUACAUGCAAGUCGAGCGAACAGACGAGGAGCUUGCUCCUCUGACGUUAGCGGCGGACGGGUGAGUAACACGUGGAUAACCUACCUAUAAGACUGGGAUAACUUCGGGAAACCGGAGCUAAUACCGGAUAAUAUAUUGAACCGCAUGGUUCAAUAGUGAAAGACGGUUUUGCUGUCACUUAUAGAUGGAUCCGCGCCGCAUUAGCUAGUUGGGAAGGUAACGGCUUACCAAGGCAACGAUGCGUAGCCGACCGGAGAGGGCGAUCGGCCACACUGGAACUGAAACACGGUCCAGACUCCUACGGGAGGCAGCAGUAGGGAAUCUUCCGCAAUGGGCGAAAGCCUGACGGAGCAACGCCGCGUGAGUGAUGAAGGUCUUCGGAUCGUAAAACUCUGUUAUUAGGGAAGAACAAAUGUGUAAGUAACUAUGCACGUCUUGACGGUACCUAAUCAGAAAGCCACGGCUAACUACGUG
RNAcentral lists this ribosomal RNA (497 nucleotides) under uncultured bacterium. RNAcentral describes it as "partial 16S ribosomal RNA". It matches the Rfam family "Bacterial small subunit ribosomal RNA", at positions 28 to 507 of the family's 1533-position model. The record is from RNAcentral.